This 253-nucleotide ribosomal RNA is filed under the name uncultured bacterium. Its description in RNAcentral is "partial 16S ribosomal RNA". It matches the Rfam family "Bacterial small subunit ribosomal RNA", at positions 524 to 776 of the family's 1533-position model. The record is from RNAcentral.
UACGGAGGGUGCAAGCAUUGAUCGGAAUUACUGGGCGUAAAGGGCGCGUAGGCGGUCUGAAAAGUCAGAUGUGAAAUUCCGGGGCUCAACCCCGGAGCUGCAUUUGAAACUUUCAGACUUGAGGUUGGUAAGGGAAAACAGAAUUCCACGUGUAGCGGUGAAAUGCGUAGAUAUGUGGAAGAAUACCGGUGGUGAAGACGGUUUUCUGUACUAAACCUGACGCUGAGGCGCGAAAGCUAGGGGAGCAAACAGG